CCUACGGGAGGCAGCAGUGGGGAAUAUUGGACAAUGGGCGAAAGCCUGAUCCAGCAAUGCCGCGUGAGUGAUGAAGGCCUUCGGGUCGUAAAGCUCUUUUACCAGGGAUGAUAAUGACAGUACCUGGAGAAUAAGCUCCGGCUAACUCCGUGCCAGCAGCCGCGGUAAUACGGAGGGAGCUAGCGUUGUUCGGAAUUACUGGGCGUAAAGAGUACGUAGGCGGUUAUUCAAGUCAGAGGUGAAAGCCCGGGGCUCAACCCCGGAACUGCCUUUGAAACUAGAUAGCUAGAGUCUUGGAGAGGUUAGUGGAGUUCCGAGUGUAGAGGUGAAAUUCGUAGAUAUUCGGAAGAACACCAGUGGCGAAGGCGACUAACUGGACAAGUACUGACGCUGAGGUACGAAAGCGUGGGGAGCAAACAGGAUUAGAUACCCUGGUAGUCCACGCCGUAAACGAUGAUAACUAGUUGUUCGGUCACUUGGUGACUGAGUGACGCAGCUAACGCAUUAAGUUAUCCGCCUGGGGAGUACGGUCGCAAGAUUAAAACUCAAAGGAAUUGACGG
Molecule: ribosomal RNA, 561 nt
Filed under: uncultured bacterium
Lineage: Bacteria
Description: bacterial SSU rRNA
Rfam family: Bacterial small subunit ribosomal RNA
Source: RNAcentral